This 407-nucleotide ribosomal RNA is filed under the name uncultured bacterium. RNAcentral's name for it is "partial 16S ribosomal RNA". It matches the Rfam family "Bacterial small subunit ribosomal RNA", at positions 30 to 526 of the family's 1533-position model. The record is from RNAcentral.
AUUGAACGCUAGCGGCAGGCCUAACACAUGCAAGUCGAGCGGAGCGGCGGACGGGUGAGUCAUGCAUGGGAAUCUGCAUGGUAGUGGGGGAUAACGUCCGGAAACGGGCGCUAAUACCGCAUCCUAUCAGAUGAGCCUAGGUCGGAUAAGCUAGUUGGUGGGGUAAAGGCCUACCAAGGCGACGAACCGUAACUGGUGUGAGAGGAUGAUCAGUCACACGGGAACUGAGACACGGUCCAGACUCCUCCGGGAGGCAGCAGUGGGGAAGAUUGGAAAAUGGGCGAAAGCCUGAUCCAGCCAUGCCGCGUGUGUGAAGAAGGUCUUCGGAUUGUAAAGCACUUGAAGUUGGGAGGCGUUACCAACAGAAUAAGCACCGGCUAACUUCGUGCCAGCAGCCGCGGUAAUAC